Zophobas morio is the source of this 534-nucleotide long non-coding RNA. RefSeq lists it as uncharacterized. Lineage: Eukaryota; Metazoa; Arthropoda; Insecta; Coleoptera; Tenebrionidae. The transcript is spliced from 2 exons. The record is from RefSeq and is a predicted model, not a curated record.
GUCAACUAACAAUAAAAAACCUAGACUGAUGCAGUAGCAAGUAACAGUGUCUAAAGGGGUAAUACAUACUGUAAGCUCAGAACUCAAAUUGUGGUGCGUCUGGUCGAUCUUGUAACGGAAACAUGAUUCCCGCCUUCAAAGGACUCCGCUUCAAUGAAACUUUGGGUUUGGAAGGGCGUCAUGGACCUGGAUCUAGACCUCAACUCCAUUAUUUUCAGACUGAAAAGGGGAGAAAUCAACUGCAUGUCUCCUACUGCACGGGCUAUAAAUACCCCAUACUGUUCUAUUUUGGGGACUGAAAGCCCUUUUUUUACUUACUUUAUAGACGGAAUAGUUAACACAGCAUCUACACACCCUGCUUCGUUUGUAUAACCUUCACAAAACUUUAAAUAUUUUUUUAACGAUCAAACAUUACAAACUCCAACGGUUUUAACUUAUAAACAGACAUAAAAUGUGUACAUACACUUAAAAUGCAUUAUGUAUAACAUGACGUCAUUUUUAUAAAUGUGUCACAAUAAAUAUCUCCAUUUAAAA